CCCACCUGAUCCCAUGCCGAACUCAGAAGUGAAACGCCGUAGCGCCGAUGGUAGUGUGGGGUCUCCCCAUGUGAGAGUAGGGAACUGCCAAGC
This 93-nucleotide ribosomal RNA is filed under the name Proteus mirabilis. The record is from RNAcentral. Lineage: Bacteria; Pseudomonadati; Pseudomonadota; Gammaproteobacteria; Enterobacterales; Morganellaceae.